UGAGUACGAGCGGCUACGGCCGCGAAGUGGAUGAUGUCAAGCUUCCAAGAAAAGCCCUAUACCCGUUAAGGCAUGAUGGCCUGUACCCGAAACCGACACAGGUGGGGUGGUAGAGAAUACCGAGGGGCGCGAGGUAACUCUCUCUAAGGAACUCGGCAAAAUGGCCCCGUAACUUCGGGAGAAGGGGUGCCACCGCGAGGUGGUCGCAGUGAAGAGGCCCAGGCGACUGUUUACCAAAAACACAGGUCUCCGCUAAGUCGCAAGACGAUGUAUGGGGGCUGACGCCUGCCCAGUGCCGGAAGGUUAAGGAAGCUGGUCAGCGCAAGCGAAGCUGGCGACUGAAGCCCCGGUGAACGGCGGCCGUAACUAUAACGGUCCUAAGGUAGCGAAAUUCCUUGUCGGGUAAGUUCCGACCCGCACGAAAGGCGCAACGAUCUGGGCGCUGUCUCGGAGAGAGGCUCGGCGAAAUAGAAUUGUCUGUGAAGAUGCGGACUACGUGCACCCGGACAGAAAGACCCUAUGAAGCUUUACUGUAGCUUGGUAUUGUGCUCGGGCUCGGAAUGCGCAGGAUAGGUGGGAGGCUUUGAUCCAUUGCUUGCGGGUGAUGGUGAGCCACUGGUGAGAUACCACUCUUUCCGAGCUAGAGUUCUAACAGCAACCCGUUAUCCGGGUGCUGGACAGUAUCAGGUGGGCAGUUUGACUGGGGCGGUCGCCUCCUAAAAGGUAACGGAGGCGCGCAAAGGUCUGCUCAGGCUGGUUGGAAAUCAGCCGACGAGUGUAAAAGCAGAAGCAGGCUUGACUGUGAGACCUACAAGUCGAACAGGGAGGAAACUCGGCUUUAGUGAUCCGACGGUUCUGCGUGGAAGGGCCGUCGCUCAACGGAUAAAAGUUACUCUAAGGAUAACAGGCUGAUCUCCCCCAAGAGUUCACAUCGACGGGGAGGUUUGGCACCUCGAUGUCGGCUCAUCGCAACCUGGGGCUGAAGUCGGUCCCAAGGGUUGGGCUGUUCGCCCAUUAAAGCGGUACGCGAGCUGGGUUCAGAACGUCGUGAGACAGUUCGGUCCAUAUCCGGUGCACGCGCAGGAAUAUUGAGAGGAUUUCUCCCUAGUACGAGAGGACCGGGAGGAACGCACCUCUGGUGUGCCAGUUAUCGUGCCAACGGUAAACGCUGGGUAGCCAUGUGCGGAGUGGAUAACCGCUGAAAGCAUCUAAGUGGGAAGCCCACCUCAAGAUGAGUAUUCCCAUGGCAUAAGCCAGUAAGGUCACGGGAAGAACACCCGUUGAUAGGCUCUACGUGGAAGCGCAGUAAUGCGUGAAGCGGAGGAGUACUAAUAGACCGAGGGCUUGACCG
Molecule: ribosomal RNA, 1351 nt
Filed under: metagenome
Description: bacterial LSU rRNA
Rfam family: Bacterial large subunit ribosomal RNA
Source: RNAcentral